GGAGGAAUGACCGCUCCCCACAUCAAAUGGGGGGCGUACUUUGCAUGGAUGUGUGCAGCACCCCUGAUCCCACAUGGCUCCUAGCAGUUUUGCCUGGCAUCGCGCCCCCCAGCUGGAUACCUGGAGGUUUCCGCCCAACUUCAGACAGUCAACCAAUCCCAGUGGGGGAGGCGUUGCCAAGGGGAGUUGGCGAGGUAGGGGGUGACACUUCCCCACCCACACAAUAGAUGGUGGAACUUACCUGGGGGAUCAGAGUCAGCUCCAGAGCUUCGCGAGUGGACAUCACUGGAAUUCAUCCUACAUCUGGAGAGGUGAGACUGGGGCCCAACCCUUAGUAGCCUGGCUGGGUGGGCUGCGAGGAAGGCCUUGCCACAUCGUGCAGCCUUCUCCUCUCCCCCCCAUGCCUGUUUUGGCCCCUUGGGGGGUGGAGGUGGCAGAAGGGGCCUCCCGCCCGUUUCCCGUGAUUCUGGGGGGCUGGGCAGGCUGGGGGGGGCUUGCCACGUGGGAACCGGUCUUGGAUUGGGGUGGUCUCUGCCUGUCCAUGCAAUGACAUACAAUGGCUACCCGUCUUGAGAGACAAGGAGGAAAGAGAAUCGGUUGUCUGGAUUUUCGCAAUGACAUAAAAGGACAUGGUCAUGGCUGUCAGUAAGAAGGAAGGGAAGGGAAGGGAAGGGAAGGGAAGGGAAGGGAAGGGAAGGGAAGGGAAGACACAGAGAGUGCUCCUAUGAUGGAUAGAUGUUGGGUCAUCCUCCUGGAGACCCUGCAACCAAUCAUGGCAAGGUGGAGAAACAACCAAGCAGGAGGGAGUGGGGAGUCAAAAGGUAGAAUGUGAGAGUUUAACUGCCAGAUAGAACUUGGCUUAGGAUGUAGCUGGGUGCUUAGGGGUUUCUUAGGCAGGACAAACUCAUUUAAUUUCUUUAGGACAGUAGUUCUCAAACAUUUUCCCUCUGGGCCACACUUUCAGAAUGAAGAUUGGAUCACAUCACACGAAAUUUUUAAUCGAUAAGUGGGAUCAUCUUUAAGGAUGCUCCUGGUUGCGGGCAGGCCCCCAGGCUGGUUCCUCCCGCUCCUGGCGUGGGCGGAGUAAUGCCGUCAUGCCAGGGUGGCACCACGAUCACCCCGGCUUCUUGGCCAAUCACUUUUGUGUGGGGUGAUAUAAAAGCGGCAGCAUGACGUGUGUCAGGCACCUACUUCCAAACUUGCAAAACAUGUCUUUGUUUAAAGUAUUGUUUUAUUAAUGGCUGGAGAGGAAGGAGGACAAUGUUCUUUUAAAAGGGGGGGGGGAUCCUGUGUCCCUGUAUACAGCCUUUAAAUUAUGGGCAUGUUGGUUCAUGGUCAACCUUUGUGCUGCAUUAACUGUUGAAUCAGAUCAAUUUCUGUGAGUCAUGGAGUUUCACAGGAAUGUCUUUCCGCUCUUCCUCCACUAUGCAUCUUCUAGGAAACAGCAAUAUAAAGCUGUCAAUGCCUCUAAAAAUAUAUGUUUCUAUUUGCUUUUGGUGGACUUGAGAUUGCUCCGCAGCCAUCCUUGUUUGCUCUUUUGUUCACAAGCACUAAUAUGCCCAGAAUAAAACAAAAGACCAGGUAAAAAUGUCUGGUCAGUACCUUGAAAAUAAUAAAUAGUACUUCAGCAGAUUUUCACCUGUUAUAAGACUACUGUUUACCUAAACAAAGCUGAGGGGAAAUGUGACUAGAAGAGAAUAACUAUUUUCCCAAUUGAGCUAAGAUCCCAUGUAACAUAUGGACCAACUGAGUUAGAAAUGUCUAAGAGUACUCAUUUCUCUGUAUUUCCAUUAAAAAUGCCUCCUAAGGAAGAAUUUCCCAAUUAUCUAUAGGGCACAAACAUAGAAAAAUAUAGGUGGAAAGUCAAAGAUUUAUAAUUAUUAUAAUUUUUGAUUUAAUGCUGGAGUGAGGCACCCCAGAUACAGAGGGCUGGAUAUAGCCCAGAGCUAGAUUUCAUACUGCUUUUUCAGUCUCCAUCUGACCACCUGCCUUUCAGCAGGGAGGGGAAAGGGCUUUGAUGUUGUACAGGUUGUUCAAACUGAAGCUUUUUUUCUCCCUAGAAGUUCUAUCACAAGCAGAUUAAAGCAGGGGGCAAAUUUCUCUGCAGACUUGUGUUCCUCACAAAUAUACCAAAAGUAAUUUAUGCAUUCUGCCACUGAUAAAUGCAAUUGCAUUUUAAAAUUUAUGACUUUAAAUAUUUGUAAGUUGGGACUUGCAGUUCAUCUGUGCGUUGGCCUUAUUUCCAUUCUUCUGCAAGUAUUACCAAGAUCUUUUUAUCUCCCCCCUCCCAAACAGGAUAUUUAUCUAUCUAUCUAUCUAUCUAUCUAUCUAUCUAUCUAUCAUCUAUCUAUCUAUCAUCUGGAGUUAUGAAGAACUAAAUAUAUGCCUUGGUUUCCAUGGGGAAGAGCUAUGUUAGGGUUGCCAUACACCCAGAAUUUCCCUGACAUAUCCGGAAUACUGCAGUCAGUGUUGGUGCCUGGGUACAUGGAGCUGGACCUCGCUGGGCUUCUUGCACCAGCUUGGAAAACACCAGGCAGUUGCGUUCUCCCCCACAAGCAACCCUCAGGAUGAUUCAUAGCUCUUCUUUCCCGAUGCGCUUCUGCGACAUAUAUCCGAAGACAUAUGCACACAACACGUUAGCAGAGUCCAAGCAGAAGCUAGGCAUUGGUGGUGUGGGUUUCUAAGCUACUUUAUUAUGUACAAAACAGAACAAAAGAAAACAUGGCUCCUAUCUCCUUCUUCAUCUCCGAGAGAGCAGAAAAGCAAAAGUACAACAUAACGGAACAGUGUAACUGAACUUCCGUUCUCAUGACUCCAACAGUAUGGAAUGUCAACACAGACAUGUGAUGAAAACAAUCACACAUCCUGCAAUGGGAGGAAUGAAAUCACAACAGUUGGCAGCAGUGUCCAGGUGGAAAUCAGGUAAAUGUCUGGGAAAAUCCGGACAUAUGGCAGCCCAUAUCAGCAGUGUCUUUUUGAUCCAGAGUUUUGAUCCAGUAGAGGAAUCCCAAUAUUAGUGGGGGGCAGAGGACUCUUUUGAUGAUUCCUCCCCCUUAAUGCCACCUCCCAUUCUGUUCUAAAGAGUCCCAUUGAAGGUUACAAAGGGAGGGGGAAACUGGCAAAGGUCACCUUCCCUCUCUUUCCGCCCAGUGGAAGCAUCCCUUAGUAUAACUCUGCUCUGGCAAUGCUACUGUUGUUUGAAGCAAAGUGUGAAUCCAGUCCCAUAUCUGCUGCCAGAGCCUGCUCCAUGGGUUCCAAUUCUGGGGUUCUAAAAUAUGAUGUUCUGGCUGGGGAAGGAAGCUCACAGACCCACUGCCCAGCACUAACUCUACCUGGUGAUACUCUGAGUUUUUCCACAAUGCCCACCGCCACUUCCUCACUGAGUAUCAUAACCCACUUUCGGUUGUUACCCAUUACCAUGUGCCACCAUUUUAAAUCUAUAGUGGAUGUCAUUGUUUAGCAAGGACACCAAGCCUUUGACCAUUCCAAAGCUGUUUUCACUUUUGUCCAUUAGCUUUGCAAACUCUGCUGCUCAGACCUUUUAUCCUUCUCAAGUUCCUAGUCCUUGGUGAAUAGACACUAUUUGAUAGAAUUGAGAUAUACUUUAUAUAAAACGGUCCAACAGGGCUGAUCACUACAGUGCAGCAUCAGUGAUCCCUAAAACCCCCAAAGCAGAAAGGGUGCAUAAAAGGAUAACCACGGUUGUCAACUUGUCUCAUAAAAGAAAGUGUGAACAACAUGAGCAUUAAAUAAUGAUUUCUGACAGUCCAAGGCAUUUUGUUUAAGACAAAGAAUUCAUCUUUAAAGUUUAUAACACUAUUUCCCCAUACUUCCUCUCCCUGCCAUAACAGGGCUAAACAUGCCAUCAAUCAGAAAACCAACACAGCAAGACCUUGGGAGAAAUCACUCUAUAGAGGUGACCAAUGAUUUGACAGAUUCAUUAACAUUAGCACCUGCUGUCACUGUGAGGAUCACAUUUUUUUUAAAUAGAUACAAUUUAACGAGGAUGUAAUUGCUACAAUCAGAUUAUUCUUUAUGUGUCCAAUAUAUGGAUCAUUACAUAAUGAUAAUUUUAUGGAUAAUAAUAAUUUUGCCUCAGAUGUUGCUUUUAUUCUUGUUGGUACAGUAUUUAAUAUUGUUUUACUAGUCAUGUGUACUUCAAAAACAUCUGCAGUACAGAUGAAUGAAUAUGCCAAUUUUGGUUUCUUGUUUUUCUCAUCUUAAGUUCAGUUCUCCACAACUGUUUGAGAUGCAACUUUGUCUAUUAUACACAUUUUUUCAAAAUAUUUUCACUAGUAUAUCCAGUCCAUUGAACCCACUGUUGGUCUCAUCUGCUAAAUCUGCCAGGACCUGUCUCCACAUGCAGAGGAACUCCCUAACUCACCAAGCAUUUGAGACCCAUCGGCUACUCUCACCUGGUUUAUGGAGGUUUCUGCACAUACUGUAGAGGGAAGUGAGGGGCAGAUCGGGCUUAUCAACCUGGGAAGGUAGCUUAUCUAGGAGAAUAAGACUCUGAUCCUAAACCUCUGCUGCCUUGUGGGAUAUCUUUGGGUAAAGAAAAGGCUAAGGAGUAAACUCUAAAAAAAUCUGGAGUGGAAUCCCUAAAACAGUUGGAUAAUCUAGGACUGAUCCCAGUUUUAUAGCAAGUAUGUUUUUGCUUAUCAUCCAUUAUACAAAACAUGUCUUAUAAUACCUGCAGCUCAUUGUGGUCUUUAGGAUAUCAUGGAUUCUCCCUGUAUCCACUCAUUUCAAAGCAGAGAAACAUAUCUGUUGCUUGACACCCGCAGAUGAGAUUUAUUUAUCUGUAACCUUCUCAAAUCAGCUUUCCAACCUCCAGAAGAUGUUUGCACUUGUGUGAUAUUGGAGGAUGUAUCAGAGGAAAAAUUUCGCAAAACAAAGCCAUAAACCAUGGAAGGAAAAACGACAAAGAUUUUUCCACACUGUGCAAUGAUGGUGAUGUCCAUGUGUCCUUUGUGUCUGUUCAUAGUUUCAACUAAGAGGUUAUUAUCUGAGCCAAACAUGGCUCAUAAGCAUACUGAGGUUUAUUUAAAGCAUUAAAUGCAGAAAAAUCCUUCCUCCGCCUUCACACUUAAAAAUAUUGUUUAUAUUGUUUAUUCCAUCUCCAGGCUGUAAUUUUCUAGAUGCCUUGGUGCUUAUUUUCCCCCUAGUCAACAGCAUCAUUCAACUGUAUUAUCAAAUAAAUAUAAGACAAAACCACAAAAACUUCAUACAACUGAGUUAAAUGUAUGAAAUGCUAUAUUUUGAUAUUCCAAUGGAAUCUUAGUAAGAUGUAAAGCACAUAUGAGAAACACGACUAUGUACUCAAGAAAUAACACCUUAUAGCAAAAAACACAAAAAGGGCAAAUUAAGGUUGCAAAGGCAACUGCCAAUGUAUUAGCUUUUUCAAAAAACUUUCAAGUUGUUGACUUAACAACCUCAGUAACGGUCCUUUAAAUGUCAUUUUAAAACAUGCAGUUAUCUAGGUUUUCCUAGGAACAGCAAAACCACAAAUCUAUUAUGUAUUUAAAAUAUGCUUUUCAGAGAUCCUCUGUGAGAGCUUUAAAUUAAAGAUAUAAAUAAGGAACUGGUAUUGGAGAUAUUAAUAUUGCACAGUUUGAAGUGACUGGAUGCAUGAAAACUGACUCCCUUUGAAAGGAAGCAUUGUUCAGACCGAUUAGAUAUUAUUCAAAAACUUUAUUUGCAGAACUUUAUUCAUAACAGAAUUAAAACAUCAAAUGAUACGUCCAAACAGUUUCAUAAAACAUAGGCUUCUCCAAGCAUAGGCUUAGCAUCAUCUUAGAAAUAAAAUAACUUGCCACCCCCACAAGCACGCUCGGUAAGGAUUAAAAACAGGGCCCUCUCUGUGGCUGGUCCCAGACUUUGAAACUCCCUUUCUAGAGAAAUUCACUGGCUCCCUCCUUGUUGUCCUUCUGUUCCAUCAGGCUUUUGAGAACAGACUGCAUUUAAUGAAAGGGCAUGCAAUUUAUAAACAUACAGAUGGAAUGAUAGUUUUAAUUCUAUCAAUGUUGAACUGUUUUUUAAAGACCCCAGCUAUGAUUUAGCUGUUCUUAUUUUUAUCUGGAAACCACCUUGAGUCCCUGUCAGGGAAAAAGGUGUGGGUAUAGAUAAAUAAAUAAAUUUGUACCACCACCACCAGCAGCAGCAGCAGCAGCAGCAGCAGCAACAACAACAACAACUGGAGUAGGUAGAAAUGACACUCUGCCCUGCCAAGUGCCCUGAAGAAAUGAAAAUACCCCCUUUCCCAGUCAUUAGAUUGAUCAUCCCCUUCCUCAGUGGAUCUACACAGAUAUGCUGAGAAGGUGGGGGGUGUUUGUCCCUGUGGGUUGGCCACACCCACUACUGGCAUGUGGUUCCAAGAGAGUUGGCCAACAGUUGGCUUUUGAGGCAGAAGUUCUUAGCCACCCGCAGUAUAGAACACCUUAUUGUUCAAUAUGGUAAUAUUUUCCAUUAAUACAGCACUAUCAGAAGUGGUUUAUCUGGUGGGGCGAAGCAAACAAAAAAAUGUGAGAGGAGCACUCCAGUAACCUAGGGGUAUUUUUUAAUGAAGUAUGUUUGAACAUGUAUAUAGUAUAAAAAAAUAAGUUACUUCCCUCCUGUCAGGGAACUGACAUCGGAGCCAGAGGCGGAGGCUAGGCUCUCAAGCGAUGCUGGAGAAGGGCCCAGCAGGGGGAGAGGCGGCUCACCAGCUAGGGAAAGAAAUCAGCGUAACACCAGGGAUAGAGGGGGGCAGAUGGGGGAAUCGGUGAGGGGGCUCCAGGACUCAUCGCCGGAGAUCAGCGAGGAGAGCACGGGUCCUCCGCUACCCACGCCCUCCCUGCGCAGAAGACUUCCGCGCAGGGAGAGUAGGAGGAGACUUGGAGUCAAAUAACUUUUAUGCUGGAAAAGGUUUAAGAAACGCCCACUGACGGAUUCUGCUAGCGACUGAACAGCCAUGAAGUGCAGGGCUGUCCAGACAGAAAAGGUUUAACAAGGCAACCUAGCCAGGAGUGGCACCAACUUGCGCACGAGCAACCCCUACAUUUAUGACACCUCCAAAGUAUGCCUUUUAGCAUGAAUGAUAGUACUUAGAGACGGAAAGAUAUGUACGUAGGCCGACAUGGUUGGGCUCCUAGGGGAGGAGUGAGAGGAUGCCUGGAGAGUAUAUAAACUGCAUGAAACCUGUCAUUUCUUUGGACUUGCUGUGGACUUGAUCACGCAAGUGCCUUCUGCUAUCCGGAGAGCAGAAUAAACUCUUUCUUUGAAGCAACCCCAGUGUCAUUUUGACUUCCUCCUGUCCUGGAGCAACGCUGACCCAAUCGGUGAAUUCCAAUAAGGCUACAAGAUCUACUUAGUAAUAACACACAAAAAUAGAAACAAACCCGAAUGAUACUAUUAAACCUGAGUGCAAAAAGCUAAAAAGCCUUGGUUUUUCAGUACAUUAAGCAAUUAGGAUCCCUAAUUUAAAAAGGACUAUUUUCCUCUCUCAUCAAUUUAAGCAGAUGUAAUGCUGCCGCUCUUUCACCUUCCCUUCGGCAAGUACGUGUUAGCAACUGACAAUCAUCAGACAAUCAAGAGUCCAUUUUCAUUCUCUUUGCCUUGAACCUAUGGUUGCUUUUGGAAGAGAGAUGCUUGCAUUUGAAGUAUGGGUGGUAUGAGGUUAAAUUCUCCAUGUCUAGGCAAUGAUGUCCUACCAAUCCAACUUAGUCAUGUUAAAACCUUAAUUUUUGGGGGGAAUAGAUAUCAAAGAGGAAUAAAAAAAUGUUUGCUAUAUAUUUCUUAUCGGCAGAUGCUGACUGGGAAUGCACAUCUUUGAGGCUGCAUUUGUUCAUAGGAACACAGAAAUUUCACUCCAUGAAAUUUAAAUUAAAUUGUCACAGGUCUAGGUGCUAUGAUUUGAAUUAACUUGGGCUGUUUCCUGGGUUGCAUGCUACAUUAAACACAUUAAUUUUAAAGCGGUUAAAGCAAAUAGAUAUUCUUGCAUGAUUUAUUUUUUUUAAAAAAACAGCAUUUUCAGCUCAGUCCUAUGGAUGCCUAGUUAACAGAGUUCCAUAGCACUCACUCCUAAAUAUGAAUGCAUAACACUUCAGUUUGCACUUCAGUUUGAACUCAGAAACAAAUUUCAUUCAUUUCAAUGGGACUUUCUUCCAAGGAUAAACAUGCUUAGCACAAUUCGUAUGGCGUGUUUAUGGAUUGAUUCCCCAAAGAGAUGCACAAGAUGGUAGUGUUUAUGUCCUCAAAUAACAUCCCAGUUUCUCCUUGCAGUCUGCCCUCAAUUACUUCCUCUUGGAAAAGUAUUUUUAGAACAGCAGUCAGUUCCAGACCCUUAAUAAAGCACUCCAGACCAAAAAUAGAUCAUCACAUGCCUUUGUAAUUUUGAUCUGUAUCCAAAUACUGAUUGUCACCUGUUUUACUCAAACUGUCACCAUGGAGAUUGGCACUUGCACAUCAAGAGGGCUAAAAGAAAAGGCAGAAAGGAGGUGACAUCCUUGGGAGAUGAUAAUUCUGUGAACUCAGUGGGUAAGAAUUUGAUGUACCGGUACAUUGUAUUUUCUCCUUUCUCUCCACUUUUCCUUUAUGUCAGUUGUUGAUGUGUUGAUGAAUAAUUGCAUUUUUUAAAAAAAAUAGCUUAUCAAUAAGAAGUAAACAAACAAACAAACAAACAAACAAACAAACAAGCAAGCAAGCAAGCAAACUCUGUUCAAAUGAAUGGCUGUAUCUGCUACUCAGAGGCCAACUGAUUGUAGAUAUUAGGGAAUAUUCAGUCAAAAGUUCUUCUAAAAUGCUAUGGACACUUUAGAGUUGGGAACUGCAGGUGCUACAAUCCUGUUGUGUCCAUGCUCUCACCUUCCACUGCCUCAGACUCAACAUUUUAUCAUGCAUUUUGCAAUUGAGUACACAAAAGGAAUAAUUUCCCAUGCAGUGACAAAUACAUUUCGUAGCCCAGAACUCUGUGUUAUUGCCAAGUGGAGGGGCGGAUGUUUCCCUGUUUUUUAACAUUUCACACAUAACGUCAAUCAAAGGUGCUGGGCCACCUGAUGGUAAAUCCUUAAAGUUCUCCUUGACGCCAAUUAGUUACUCAUUUAUUUACUCAUUAACAGACUUCAGUCACCUUGUCAUGUUCUCAAUCAGGAUUGAUUACAAGGCUCUUUUCCAGUCCUUUGGGAAUCCCAUAGCUUAUGUGUUAUGUAAACAUCCAAGGGAGCCCAGUCAUGGGAGUAGAAAUUAUUGAUCUUUCUAGAAGCAAUGUUGGAGAAACCACAGAGCAGAAAGCAACUGCUUUGCCCUAGGCAAUUGCACAGGAAGCCUGAUAUUAUAGAAGCGGCUUAGUUGCUACUCCUCUGCAACUACAGUAUCGUAACAUAGGAGAAUGGAAAGUACAGGACAGGAGAAUCAUAUGGAAAGAAGUGUGCUAUUAGUACAUUACUUCCCCAUCUGUUGCUGCUGAGCUUGUGUUUGGUUGCACAUUUGGGGUUGAUGGGGGAGUGGAUUCUGCUGGGCAGCUGUUGAUGAGUAACAGCAGUUAGAAUAUCACAAGGUCUUGAAACAUGUGGAUUGUCCCACUGCCUCCUCAUUAUGCGCCCAUUGACAAUAACAAUUGUCUCAGAGCUGCCCUGUUACUACCUAGCAUCUCAACCAGCCACUAGAACAAUGUAUUCAAUGCUAUGUGGACUACUCUAAGAAGGCAGUGAUUGAGGAAAGCUGCAUUUCAUCCAUUUCCUGCAGUUGUCUUGGAGCCAUCCAUAAGUAAUGGAAUCAAAGCCCAGAUCACCUCCAAAUCAGCUGGUCCAGUUUGAAAUUUGGCCAAAUCUGGUGCAGACCCAGCAAAUUAAAUGGUUAGUGGAGUUACAUAAAGAAAAAAGAUUCAAUAAACGACCAGUUGAAAGGCAUGAAGACAUUCCAGGAAACCUCAUAAACCCCUUAAUUGCUCUAUUUAUUAUAUGAUACUUUUUCUUUCUCUGAGAAAAAUUGGCUAUAAAUCCUCUAAGUAAAUAAUCCAGAUUCACAGGGAUGACAUUUCCCCCCACAUAAUGGUGCACCUUCAACAAGGUUCUGCACUCAUACGGCAGCAGGGUGGCAAAGUGUAUAUCUAUAGAUAUUAUGGAGGGUGGACAACCAGACCAUUCCUAUCGUGAGACUCAAGUGGCUUAAAAAAAAAAUAAGCUGAAAAAAUUAUACAGUGGUACCUCUGGUUACGUACUUAAUUUGUUCUGGAGGUCCGUUCUUAACCUGAAACUGUUCUUAUCCUGAAGCACCACUUUAGCUAAUGGGGCCUCCCACUGCUGCUGCGCUGCCGUCACAUGAUUUCUUUUCUCAUCCUGAAGCAAAGUUCUUAACCCGAGGUACUAUUUCUGGGUUAGCGGAGUUUGUAACCUGAAGUGUAUGUAACCUGAAGCAUAUGUAACCCGAGAUACCACUGUAGCACAAUUUUCACUACAAACUUUACUUCAUGUUAGUAUGGAGUAAAGUGUGACUGUGGGUAUGGAGCCAGGAGAAGGCAGUUAAUCCUAUUAAUUAAGGAGGAGAUCUUGUGUAAAUGGCACUACUUUCUUCUCCAAGAAGUUUGCUUACUACACCACAUACUUUUCAAAAGCAGCAGCCUAUGAAAGAAAUUGGAGGUUUCUUUCUGCUACAAAGUACAACUGCUCUUUUACAGCUAGUCAUUAGUGGUUAGGGAUACAAUGAACACAUCUGAUCUCGCGGCAGUAAAUAUAUGGUGCAUAAAUGGGGAACUUGCAGAAAGGGUAAAUCUGUGCCAACAGUGCAAUCAGAAUGUUUAUGUUUAUCACAUCCCUUUAUAUAGCACAUUACAAAUCGGUCUUCAAACAGUUGAGAAUUGGUGAGAUGGCAGCCACCAUCCAGGCAAAAUGGUAAAUACUGCAUUGUUACAUAAGCACCUCAAUCUUUGAACAGUGUGAGUUUCCAGAUGUCCAGAUGCCUUCUCAGGAUUCAUGUUUCCUUUGGAAUCGAGGCACAGUGGAGACUGUUGUAUCUUUAUGAUAUAUGGUUUCUUUACAUAUAUUUACAAGGCUUGCCCCACAGCUAGUUUUGGAUUAUCUGUGCUCAGAUUUGAUUGGAAUGGUGGAAGGCUACCACAGUUACCAUUUUCUGUGCCUCUGUUGUUGCCUCCCACAAAUUCUUGCUCAGUUGAGGCUUGUGUAAAUCAUAAUCAUGAUAAUUUAUACCCCGACAAUAGAGCCUAAAGCAAGAAUGGCUCACUUGUGGUCCUUCAAAUGUUGUUGGAUGGGAUUUUCCCAUCACCCCAGAUCAUUGACCACAUUGGCUGGGGCUGAGGGGGGUUGGGUCACAGGUUAGCUACCCCUACAUAGGCAUGUGUGCUUCACAAAUGUCUCUAAAACACCCUUUUGAGAGAUGGAAACAUUUGCAGGAGUUAGCUCAAGUGAUGUGUACCAACCUGGAUGGAUUUAAAAGAGAAUUACACAAAUUCGUGGAGGAAGAGGCCUAUCAGUGACUAUUAACUGUAAUGGCUAUGCUUCGCCUCCACUGUUAGAGGCUGAAUGCUUCUAUCUACCAGCUACUAGAACAGCAGGAAGGGACAGCUAUUGUCUUUGUGUGCCUGCUGGAGAGCUCACUGUGUGUCAGUGGCCCCAGACAGCCAUUACCGGAAAGUCCCUUCUGAAGUUUUUCCUUAAAAUAAAAAAAUAAGAGCAGGAGAAAGUGAGAAAGUUCCAUAGGCUUACUUCAUACCAAAGCUGUAUCAGUUACUGCCAUGGAAACACUUAAUCUAGUAACUCUCACAAUAGUGUGGGCGGGGUAGGAUAAUACAGUUUUCCCUGUAAACCAGCAAAUAAAAGGAAACCCUAUAAUUUAACACAUUUUGUCAUUAAACCCUGUCGUUAACACCUAUAAGUCUAUUCUUCUACAUGAAGCAACCAAUCUGGGGUUUGGUCAAGGAGAAUGAACUUCUUAAUAUAUACCACCAGUGUGUUUUUCUUGCCACAUAGUUUUCGGAACUUGAGAAAACUUGUGUGAUAAAUACAUUAUUUUAAGUUGUAAGCAUGUGUUUUCUGUAGCUAGUACUACAGUUUGAAAAAGACACAUGGGAUAGGCCUAGUAUUUGUGAGGGCAGCAUCAUACCAUCUCAGCCUGGAUGUGGGAGCAAAUACGACUGAAUUGGUUCCCCAGAAGAGCAACAACACCAACAAACAAGCCCCUUUAUAUAAAACUACCACAUUGGAGGAAAGGUUAUUUAUUUGUUUUCAUUUAUUCAAAGGAGGAGGACAAGGCAGGGUGCACAGGGUUAAUGGCCAACAAGACCUGCUUAGUAGAGUUGGGCAAGCACCAAAAUGUUCUCUCUCACACACCCCAAAUUAUUUGCUGCCCUUUGAGUAGGUUUUCUGGGCUUUCCACAUCAGUGCUUGCAGGGCACAUAUCAGCUCUGUGCAUACUGUCCCUGAGUUUGCCCAUGAUAGGGAAGGAAGAGCUCACUUAAGAACACAAGAAGAGCCUGCUGGAUCAGGACAGUGGUCCACCCAGUGCAGCAUCCUGUUUUCACAGUGGCUAAUCAGAUGCCUGUGGGAAGCUUACAAGCAGGGCCUGAGCUUUAACAGCAUUCACCUCUCCUGAUGUUUCCAGAAACUGGUAUCUAGGAAGCAUUACUGCCUCCAGGUGUAGGUGCACAGCAUAGCUGUCAUGGUUAGUAUAUUUGAUAGCCUUAUGCUCACCUAGGGUAAGAGAAGUGUGUAGCAAGAAAAGGAUGUGUUCGGCAGUGGUGAGAAAUGAUAUGCUGAGCAUCUUUUCCCACCAGGAAUUAUGGGGUCCAAUAUUGCCAGUGGGCUGCAAUGCUCAGAGCACAUUUUUCAUCAGAAGAGACAGGUUACUGGACAUGAACAAUACCUUGGGAAUCUUUUCCUGCUGGGGAUAAUGGGUCUUGUAGACAAGCAUCUUCAUAUUUGGUAAGAAAAAAUAUUAUCAGAUAUUGUCAGGCUUCGGGGAAUCAGAUCCCUCCACCACUGGCAGAAAAGAAGCAGAUAAAAAGAAGAGUUAUUACCAAUUAGUUUAUUCAAGAAUCACAGUGAGAGACAAAGGAAUGUGGUCUCUCUCUAGAAAUUGCGUUGCUCCAAGUAAAGUCCCACCCCCUCCAUCUCUACUAUUCUACGUCACCCCUACGUCGGCUAAUCUGAGCUUUCCGUCACUGAGCUUUCUGUUCUACUAUCCUCCAUGCCCGCCAAGUCUUGGGGGAGGAGGGGUCAGGAAUGCUUUCCAAAGACACUGAGUCUGUCAGCUGUCUGCAAACCACUGUUCUAAAUCUAUGCUGUCCUGUCCUCGGAAAGGUUCAGGAGAAGGGGGCAGCCCCCACCAUUCUUCCUCAGUCCAGCCCCUGACCAAUAUGGUACUGCGUGUCCUACUUUACAAUGGACAGUUUUUAAAGGCCUAUUAGGGAACUGACCUUUAUUUGAAGGGCGAUAGUCCUAUAGCUGAAAAGGUCAUACAUUUCAAAGUGUUUGCAGUGGAGGGUCCCAAUGUCGGUCUGUUUGUUCUCCCAACCGGGCAUUAGCAUAGAAAAGAAAUCCUACCAUACUCCUUCCACCCUGGACAGCAUGAGGGGCAGGGCUGUGAAUGCAGAGGCGGUUCCACCACUGUAUUAAGCCCUUCUGCUUCUGAGGCUGAUGCUCUGGCAGGGUCAAUAUUGAAACCAUAAGCAUUUGAUCCACUGGUAGAUUCAUAACAUACAAAGCUGAUUUUGGUUCUCAUUGAUUAUAACCAUUUUAUUGCAUCCAUGAAUGAGAUCAGCUAACUUACAGCAUUUGUCUUAUUUAUAGUUUAUUAAGCAACAACAACAAAAUAACGACAACUUGAACAUACAAAGUGCGUGAAGCACAUUAAUCAACCUUGGUUCUUGUAAAAUUGUGAAGAGGGACAGUAGGAUAAUUUGAACACUAAUGUGCAUCCUGGCAGUUAUUUAGAAUCUGUUCCCUUUGGGAAAGAAAUAUGGUAGUACAGAGUAUAUUGUUAUUAAAAUUUGGCCUGGCUUUACAUGAAAGGAUGGGUUAAUAAGUUACAAAUCUGGGAAGAUGCUUCCGCUGACAUUUCCAUUUAUCUCUCAAAGGCAAAAAGUAAGACAAAUUGGAUGGCUCAUACUUGCUUUUUCUGCAUCCAUUUGGACUAGCGUGUCAAGAUGCUUGCUACUCAGGGGUUUAAAAUUGAUGUUCAUUUUUUUUCACCUGAUGUUCCAAAUGGAUGCAGAGAAAAUGGGAAUUAAAUGAUUGCUCAUAUUUUUAAACCAUCAUCCUAUAAUUUCAGCUGUUCUCAAAAAGAGGAUAUAUAUCUCAGUCUAAAGCUAAAAUUUAACAGUCGAGUGCAUGGGAGUGGGGAGCAGGCAUCACAAGAUGACUUGCAUUUAGUAUGAUUUGAGGGGGGUUUUUUUAUUAAAAAGGGGUAUUAAUUACAAAUAAAAUUCAUAGUAGCAUUGUGCAUCUACCUACAAACUCUCUUUCAAAUCUCACCUCUCUGGGUAUUAUUAGUUUAAUGGAUAAUUCUCUUUCCAUUUGUUUAUGUAGAAUUCUUAUAUCUCACUUUAUAGCCCCAAGAGGUUCUCAAGGCAGCUUACAAAAAGUGAUCACUAUUAAAAUAACACUAGUAUUAUUAUUAUGUAUUAUUUAAUAAAUUUCACCCUUCAUCUGAGGAUCACAGGGCAGUUUACAAUAUAAAUAUACAUAACACAGUAACUAACAAAAACAACACCCCCAGACACACAGUUUAACAGACUAUAGAUGGUUUAAUUAGCCAAAAGCCUGUGGGAAAAGGAAUAUAAUAUCAGACAGAAACCAGGCAGCAAAUGCCACCAUCCAUGUAACUUCUCCAGCCCACAGCCUCAGCUAAAUGUGAUUUAUCAAUGUGUUUUGGUUGUACAGUGGUACCUCAGGUUACAUACGCUUCAGGUUACAGACUCCGCUAACCCAGAAAUAGUACCUCAGGUUAAGAACUUUGCUUCAGGAUGAGAACAGAAAUCGUGCUCCAGUGGUGCGGCGACAGCAGGAGGCCCCAUUAGCUAAAGUGGUGCUUCAGGUUAAGAACAGUUUCAGGUUAAGAACGGACCUCCGGAACAAAUUAAGUACUUAACUCGAGGUACCACUGUAUUGUUGAGAAACAUGCAAUUUUAUGUUGGUUUCUAUUAUCAGAUUACUCAUGGAUCUGGAAAAUCUGGAUUGAUUGUGGGAAAAGUACAGACCCCCACUUGGUUGAGGAGGUUGUUUUCUGGAUUCCAGCAUAAAAACUGAGACAGAAUGAGCUUUGAAUCCACAUAUAGCCAGGUUUCUUCAGGCAGCAUUUUUGCCUAAUAGGUAACAAGAACUUGCCACCAAAUUAUUUGACUUUUAGGGUGAAAUCCAAUGCCAUCAGGACAGAUUUCUGCUCACAUAAUAAGAGUUCUUCUUCUGCUCCUCCUCCUCCUCCUCCUCCUCCUCCUCAGGAACUAUAAGUAAGCCACAACCCACAUCUCCCCUGGGUUCUCUAGUGAUACAUGUCUGUGCAGACCUUCCAAGUGUCCCUAUUUUCCAGGGAUGUCCCUGAUUUAGAGAAGACACCCCAAUUUCUUAUUUGAUCCUGGAAUGUCCCAUUUUUUCUUAGGAUGUCCCUAUUUUCAUUGGAGAAAUGUUGGCAUGUAUGGAGUUAUCUGACCCCUGAGCUAUCUGAAAGCAAUCCUGUAUAGGGAAGUUUUUUAAAUGUUUAAUGUUUUAUUCUGUUUUUUUGUAUAUGUUGGAAGCUACCCAGAGUGGCUGGGGCAACCCAGUAAGAUGUAUGCGGUAUAAAUAGUAAAAUUAUCAUUAUGGAAUGGGACGUCCCUGGUUUCAUCAGAGAAAUGCUGGGGGGUAUGAAACUCAUCCUUAGUAGUUUUAAGCAUUCAGAGUUCUUGUUGUUAUGCUCUGAAUUUUGAACGCUGAACACCCACCUCCCCACCCACUUGCUGGCUGUGUUCCAGAAAGCACAAACAGAGUCAAAUUAAAAAUAGCUGUAGCGCCAAUAUGCAACCCAAUCUACUGACAGAAUAGCCGUCUGUAGAUGUGUCUUGUAUCAGUGUCCCGACAUGCAAGCGCCAAAGCACCUCUCCACAGGUAAGAAAUGAGAAAUUUUCAGGGCUGUUGAACACCGCACAUUUUCACAGUGGAUCAAGACAAAACUAUUUAGUCCAGGUGCUCCUGUAAUUAUGUUACAUUGGAAAGCUCAAUAUUGUUCAAUGGGCCUCAAACUCUCAUGUCUGAGGUACAGAGACAAUGGAGCUAUCACUAGAAUAUUGUGUUGCAGUCAUGGAAUAAAAUACAGGUCAAAUGUAGGUGUUUAUACUUUUUCUUCUUACUAUGUCCGUUAGGAAGAUCUAGAUGCCAAGGUUUGUACUAAGAUGUCUCAGUUCCAAAGGAAGAUAUUGCAAAUAACUAAAAGUUAACGAUUCACAUAGAUUAUAUUGCUAUUGUGUGCUAUUAGACUUUUAGACAACAAAACAAGCCAGUGAGAUUAUCUGUACAUAACUAUUAUUAGAAUCAUCCUCUGUAUGGCUCAAAGGGAUGCUUGAGAAAUUUAUUGUUGCAGAUUCUGAUAUGAUCUGGUACCCAGUCCAAACUUUCCAGAGUAAUGUGCAUAUCAGAAAUUAAGCUACCCAUUAGUACUAGAGAAGCUUUUUAUUACAAUGCAUCACUGUUUUAAAUUUUAAAAAGAGAAAUGUUUGGUUAAUGUGAAUAUAUAACAACAAAAUCUCGAGUUAAUAUCCCCUAGAUGUGCUCAAUGAGAAACCAGCCAAAUUCUGUAUCAGUUCUGUAUUGCAGUAGCUAUCACCUUUAUUUGUUCUGCUUUACACUUCCUUUAACAGCCUAUAAAAUGUGCAUAACAACAAAAUAAAAGUCCACACAUUUUAUUCUUUGAAGACCAUUAAUGGUUUAACAUCUUCCCAUAUAUAUAUAUAUAUAUUCUUUGCAAGUGUUUGCCUUAGAUUUCCUUUACUUGCCCAUAUAGUUAGCACUAACCUUGGUGGUAACUAAAAAUAAAAAUAACGGCAAGUUAUUUCACAUGUUUGAUUGCAUUUUGUGCAGGGGUAAUUGACUUAUGAAUUGGUGUGGAAUUCAACUGAAUCAAAAAUUGACUGUCAGUUAGGCAACUGGAUUUUUGAAAGGCUAUGUGUAACAUUUAAAACAAUGGGAGGUUUCUCUAUAUUCCCCACCCCACCCCUGCUGAAAGCUUCCAUAUGAAACUACUCUAGGGAUGGCUUUACAACUGAAACUGAAACCAUUCAUAGGAUAACAUUAAAAACCUGAGGUACUACUUCUUGGCUAAAGUUGUUGCUGUGUGAGUGACAACUUUACAAAUUGGCUUCUGAAUUGUCUAGACAACUUGAACUUAAUCAUGGGUUCAUAAAAAAAGAAGCAAGAAAGAAUAGGAGUUAACUGCUUUGGAAAACAGUGUAUUGUGAUGCUGUGAGCUGCUGCAUCCACUUCCAACUUACUUUGUUCCUUGAUUCAGAAACUGACCUUGGGGCAAAUGUAGGUAAACAAGGAGAAAAGGAGGCCUAGUUAAGAGUGCAGUCAGAGCAUCUUUUCUCACCAGGGACUGGGGCAAGGAUUACAAAACCUAGAGUUCCCCCCAAGACACUGACAUGACAAGCAUCGUUUUCAUCCAGGAGAAGACCCUCUGAGACAAAGAUUCUCUACUAGGAUCCUGGGAAUCCAUGUCAUCAGCGUUUGUCCCUGCCACAAGGUACAUUUCUGAGCUUUGAGGAAUGGGGAGGUGGCAGCAGCAGAAGUGAACUACAGAUAACAUACAAGAACAAGAUGAUACAUUACAUCAGUGUCCUCUGUCAGCCACAAAAGAGCCUUCUCUUCCCAGUGCUAAUGGGUGCAUUGCUGGUGGUAGUGCUUUAGUUGUGCAUCUUCCCUCUGCAGGUAUCAUGGGUAAUGUCACAUGUUCCACAGCCUCGUUGGGAUCAUACAUGAAUUGGCAGGCUCAGACAGAGGAGGAGGAUGAAGGAGAAGGGGUGUGCAUUGUGGGAACUGGGGUUGACUCCAGUUAUUAUGGAAGGGGGAGUAAGAGCACCAGCUCUCCUCCCUUGCCUCUUCCAUAGAGUGUAGAGCCUCACUGGGGUUUGGGAAGGACCUUGACCAGCUUCUGGGAAGGAUGAGUAGGAGACAGCAGGGGAGGGCACAGCCUUGUCACUGAUGGCCAGGGACCACCUUUGUAGAUUGGUACAGACCCACAUGACCAAAUAAAAAUGCAAAGUGAGAGAGUCUCACUAAUAAGUUUACCAUGCCUCACCUUUAAAACUUUGACUGGAAGGGCAUGGAAGUUGUUGGGACAUUUCCAUUGCUUCUGUCCAGUUCUGAACUUCUUGCUUGGUUCCUGAAUUCUUGACCUCUAAUGCUAAGCCUGCUGCUGAGCCUUUACUGUUACUUGGCUAAAGAAAGAGCUUUCUCUUACUCAUAAAUAAUAGCCUAUGUUGUCAUCCUUUAGGUAAGAGGCAUGAUACGUAGCCAGAUUAAAAACUGCUAGGAUGUGUUAAUUAGGUUGAAGGUCAGGGAGAAAGUGAGGGGCAUUUUAUUUUAUGUGAAGAUUUCUAAACUACUUCACAACAAAAGGUUGACAAUGAAGUAAGAUGAAAUAGAAAGUACAAAAGGUUAGAAACCCAGUUAGCUCAAGACAAUAAAACUAGUGCAUACAGUGCAUACAAUUAUUCCAUAAAAUGGCCAGAUCACACUUCAAGGAAAGUGUGAUCUUACCUAAAAAUGUCUUUAAUGGACACCUAACUAUGAAAAUGUUAGGGUCUUCAUGAAUGUAAGUUGCUAACUAAUUCUAGAGGACUAAGCCCAUAAGAGAACAUCUGUUUGAUGUAAUAUACAUAGUAAAGGUAAAGGUAAAGAGACCCCUGACCAUUAGGUCCAGUUGUGACCGACUCUGGGGUUGUGGCACUCAUCUCACUUUAUUGGCUGAGGGAGCUGGCGUACAGCUUCCGGGUCGUGUGGCCAACCUGACUAAGCCACUUCUGGCAAACCAGAGCAGUGCACGGAAACACCGUUUACCUUCCUGCUGGAGUGGUACCUAUUUAUCUACUUGCACUUUGACAUGCUUUUGAACUGCUAGGUUGGCAGGAGCAGGGACCGAGCAACGGGAGCUCACCCUGUUGCGGGGAUUCGAACCGCCGACCUUCUGAUCGGCAAGUCCUAGGCUCUGUGGUUUAACCCACAGCGCCACCCACGUCCUUUGUAAUAUACAUAUGGAACAGCAAAUACCAACUACACUUUAUGCAUUGUUUGCUUACAUUUUUGCUUUGCACAUUUUUCCAGAGCAACACGGAGAUUUCUUGAAUCAAGAGACUAGAGAUACUUAAUAUGAUUGGAACAGUGAGUUUCUUGGACUAAAUCACAGCACACCAAGGCAUUUUAGUGCUGUUGCUUUGGCUUUUUUAGUUGCCAUUUUUAUUCUUGGCUUCUUUUACUGUGAUAUAUAUCCUGGUACCAAUUUUGAUGAAGCCGGUGGUAUAUAUGUAUGAACAGGGAUGCACAGCAUAUUGACAUCCGGGGCCAUCAGUUUCUAUACAGAGCACCCAGAGAUGCUUUGGAUGUUUUGGACUGCAACUCCCACCAGCUCCAGCCAGCAUGGUCAAUGAUAGAGAAUGAUGGGACUUGUAGUCCUGCCCAACAAAUCUAGACAGUGCCAUAUUGGCUACCUCUGCGUGAUCAACUGGAUCAGGGACCAUGUUUUUAUGGCAAAGCUAGCCCUCAAGUGGCACAUAAAACACUCAUUAAUCAGGAUUAGAAGUUAUUUACAUAACAUAAUUACAUGGCUCCAAUUUUUUAAAUAAAAAAAAAUGCGAUGAAACUCUCUACUUCAAAAAAAGAUUUAAAAUACUUUAUUAAUGGUUUUAUACCAAGCACUGUUAAGGGGGAAAUAUAUUUGAUUUUCUUAAGUGUGAUAUAAUGUUAUAUAAUUAGCUUCCAAUCACAGACAAGGCCCUAUUCAUCUGGAUUAGAUGGCAUUAGCAUAAUAGAAUUGCUUCUUAAGAAAAAGAAAAUGCCGCAAAACACUCAAGGGAGCCUAAAUACACCACACAGAUAUUAAUGUAAAAUUAUAAUUAAAUUGAAACUAUCAUAAAUUAGCCAUACUAUCAUCAUAACAUUUCAUUAGCCAACAUAUAUUCAUUGUAGUGCAUGGGCUCAACAAGUUUACACAUCACCCACUACAACAAUGCCUUGUUUUUCCUGUAACUUCAAAAUUAUCUUAGAGAUGGAAUAUAGGGCGAAAAGUUGUGUAUUAUCUCCUUUGGUAUCAUCAUUCCUCUUACCUAGACAGAUGCAGUAUGACAUACAGUGGGACCACAACCUACGCAAACUCCACCUAUGUGAUCACAGCUUUACCUGAAUUGCCCAUAGAUAGAUAGAUAGAUAGAUAGAGGGUAGGACACCCUGAAAAGUACAUUAAUUGGACCAAUGGUUAUCUCCUAGAAGUUACUUAAGGUUUUGUUUAAAUUGAGCACCAUUGCUUUCCUGUCUAUUUCCUCCUGAGUUGUUCUUUUAUUUUCUUACAUAAACAACUGUAAGAACUUGUUCCCACCAGAGGGGAUGCGUCUUCAUAACAUUUUUAAUACAAUCAAGAUUACUGCAGCAUAGUCUCUAAUUACGCUAAUACUAGCCCUCAGAAGACCUAGUAAAUUUACAAAGGAAGCAAGCAAGCAAAAAGGAACUAUGGACCACGAUUAUAACAGCAAGAAUGACAGUUACACAAAUGAAACCUUACAAGGUUGGCUCCAGAAUGCUGGACUCGAACACCGCUGUCAUUUCAAACUUCCAAGAGUGUAUUGUUUGGCUUCUACUGACCAUUAUCACCUUGUGUCUAUUUAAAUAUUGUCUGCAUGGGAGAUAUAAAAAUAGUCCACAGAGAUCUUUGUGAUACUUCAAUUUGCAGCUACUCCCAUAGCAAUAGCUUGCCAUUGGAAGACCACAGAAGAGGCUGGCUGCAUCUAAUUUGGGAAAUGGCUCUGUUGCAAUGUUUAACACAAUAGGGUCACUGUGUAGCACAAGUACUUUGAGACUGUUUGGAUGCCCUCCCCAGAAUAUGAAAAUUGGAACAGACAGAUGAUACGACAUCAACUCUCCCAUGUUUAAUUUUGUAAGGGUGUGAUACAAAAUGGAAGCUAAAGUUAUGGUUGCUUGAGGAUACAAGUAAACACUUCAGCAAGUUUUAACUGUAACUCUUUAUUGUGCUUGUACAAAAAUAAGAUUGUACUUUACACAGAAUCUACUAUUUGUUGUAUUUUGGAUAAUUGUUGUGUUUUUUAAAAACAGUUCCCUCUAGCAAGCUGGAAACUACAGGCAGGAUAUAGUUGUCUGGAAACUGAUGUAUGUCAACUACUUUCAGUCAGGUCUGACUAUAGUUUGCUUUUAAUUCAGUGGAUCACUUGUUAUUUUAUGAUCAAGCAUGAUAGAAACAUUCUUUCACAUAAAUACAUUUACAUGAAGAAUUUUGAGAAUGGUAGGGGAUUGUAUUGGAAAAGGAGAUGCUUUCAGGGGACGUAAAAUGGACUAUAAUGUGGAAUUCAAUUCCUCUAUUUAAUUAUCCUAUAUUUUUAAUAGAAGACAUAGCAACAGAGUUCACACACCUGACUUUACUGCACAGACGAAUGAGCCCAGCUAAAAUGUCAUUCAACUCUGGUUAGGACACAUGACAUUGAUAGAUGAAACCGAAAAUUGCCAAUUCAAGUUGACCCUUUCUUGAUAAAACAUGGCUGCUUUGAGCACAAGUGAGAUAACUACCUAAAUUAGUCAUCAUUAGAGUCCAGCAAACUCUGGGAAGCUUGACUUUCAGCUUUGGCACAAACCUGAACUAUUUUUAUUUGCUCUUCAAAAAUAAAGGGGAGAGGGUGCUUAAGCAAUACAAGUUAUAGCUCUUCUAUAGAUUUAUUCCACAAUAAAUUUGAGAUUUCUUUUUGAAAACUCCUUGGUGUAGUAAUCCUAUACAGAAAUCAACCCCACUGAAUUCAGUGAAAUUUACUCCAGAUAAUUUAGGUAAUUUACUCCAGGUAAUUUACUCCAGGUAAUGUAUUUAGAAUUGUAGCCUAAGAUACAAAUUUUUAAAACACAUUUUCCCCUUCUCCUUUCUUUCAGUGGUGAGCAUUGUAUAAGGGACUGCUCACUUCAUUUCUGUAUAAGCCAAUGAAGCUUCUGCAGUAUUUUGAGAGCUCUUGAUGAGGACCAAUAAACAUCAUUGACUUAGCAGAUGAUGAAUGACUCAUAACAAAAGGAACUGGUUUCAGACUGUGCAUGACAAAUUUCUCUCUCUGGGAGACUCAAAUCUAGUCUCGCUAGUUUUAAUAGGAUUUAUCACUGUGCAGACAUUACUUUCAGUCAUUUUCUGUGCUCAUAGGCUAUUUACCAUUAUGGUUUGCUAAUACUAUUUAGAAAACUAUUUGGCUACUACUAUUGAUCAUUUAUAUGGUACAUUUUCUAUCUGCAUUGCAGUGCUUUCCGCUCCUCAUUGUGUCUGCCCCUCCAGAAUAAUAAGUGUGACGUAGGUUACUAUCAUUCCUACAUUACAGGCAGUGAACAGAAUGUGAGUGAUGCUUAGCUUGUAUGAAUUGAUUGCAUAGACAAAGUUCAUUAUAAUUACAUUUACAAAAAGCAAAAAGAAAUCCUACACAAAAUACUAAAAUUAGUGCUGAGUCAGAAAUGUCCCUGGCCCCAUUCUUAGGUCAUGAAAAAGAGAAUUCUGGCUUCAGGGAAAGGGGAAAAUUGCAAUAUUAGGGGUGACUGGGUUUGGGAGCUUCUGCUGCAAAGUGGUAAAGGCUUGUUUCUUCACCUUUUCCUUUUUAUACAUCUUUCAGGUAGUUUCCCCACUGUAACAUGUAGUAGCAGCACUCUCACUUGCUGGAUCAUUUGCAGGGAAACCAAAAUGCUUGUUUACAAAGCUCUUGUACUACCAUAUGGACCACUUAUAAACACCAUCUCCAACUCCUCAAAAGUUUCCAUCAAUGCUGUCUCGGGAAAAAUUUACACAUCACUUGGGAAGACAGGCAAACUAAUGUCAGGGUACUGGAAGAAGCAAAGAUCACCAGUAUUGAAGCAAUAAUUCUUCAACAUCAACUUCGUGGGACUCGUCAUGCUGUUUUGAUGCCUGAUGAUCGUCUUCCAAAGCAACUACUCUAUUCCCAACUCAAGAAUGGAAAGCGAUAUACCGGUGGACAACAAAAGAAGUUUAAAGACCCUCUCAAGGCAAAUCUAAAAAAAAAAAAUGUAACGUAAGCACUGAUAACUGGGAAACACUAGCCUGUGAGCACUCCAACUGGAGAACAGACUUUACCAAAGGUUUUCAUGGACUUUGAAGAAGCACAAACUCAGGGAGAAAAUGAGAAAUGUGCUAAGAGUAAGGCAUGUUUGGCAAAAUCUCACUUGGCUACGAGUGAUCACCAUAGAAGAAAGAAGCAGCACUCUGAUCAAAGAGCUAAUAGUCCACACAACGACUCCUCUGAAAGGGCACUGAAAGGGCUUCCCCACAAGAAUCCUGAGAGCUGUAGUUUGUUAAAGAUGCUGAAAGUUGUCAGGAGACCCCUAUUCCCCUCACAGAGCUACAAUUUUCAUAGUGGUUUAAAAAUCAUCAUCACCAUAAUCAUAAUCCUCAGUCCCUCUUCACAGAAAACUGGGGGUCUCAUAACAAGUCUCAGAACCCUUAACUAACAGGAAUCUUGAGAGAAAGCCAUGUCUUUAAAGUAUUAUGAUACAGUGGUACCUCAGGUUAAGUACUUAAUUCGUCCAUUCUUAACCUGAAACGGUUCUUAACGUGAAGCACCACUUUAGCUAAUGGGGGCCUCCUGCUGCUGCCACGCCGCCAGAGCACAAUUUCUGUUCUUAUUCUGAAGCAAAGUUCUUAACCUGAAGCACUAUUUCUGGGUUAGCGGAGUGUGUAACCUGAAGAGUAUGUAACCUGAAGUGUAUGUAACCUGAGGUACCACUGUACUGCUUUAAAUGUAUAGUGCAGACAAGCUCAAUUUUUACCUCCAUGACAGAAUGCAACAUGGGCUGUAAAAACCAUGCCUUCACAUAUGCUAAUAUUUCUUAUCGCCUUGUUUUUGCUAUGAAAUCUAUCAGUGCUUGUACUUUCUGAUGGAUCAAAGAUAAGGGAUGGGUGGAGGAGGUAGGCAUCUAGCUCUACCUUCUGACUUGUCAGGCUCUGCACCUUGACCUUUGAUCUACCAGAAUCCAUUGGCAGGAUGGGUGAGACAUGCAUAGAGCAAUUCUGCUUUUUGAAAGCACCAGCUGCCAUGGCUUUCAGUGCACAACGCUUCACACCAUAGGCGAGCGAGUCCCAAAAGCUAGGAGGAAAACCAAAGUGCUUAAAUAAAAAGCAGCUUGGAAAGUCAGAAAGGGCAACCUUCCAUUUCAUUCAGUAUCAAAAAUUUAAAUAAAUUGUGCCUAUAGAAAUCCUUUACACAUUUUUUGUGACAGACUAAAAAGAAGAAGUUAACAGCUGUUAUGGCUAUAAAAUCUUCCUUUAUUAUUGGUAUACUAAUCCCAGGAAGACAAAUAAGGCUCAGCACAUGCCAGGGAUGCAGGCCUUCCAAUCAUAAAUGAAAGAUACAUGGCAUCAGUAAGGAAACCUAUUGGCUGUGUCAAUCAUCUUUUAUUUAGCAACACAUGUUGGUAAUGUAAACAGCAUGGCACUAGAUCCCUUUGGUAGGUUUAAAUGCUUGGAUGUGCAAAGCAAAUAAUAAAAGUAAAUCUUGUCAUGUUUGGUUUCAUGGCCCUAUAAAUAUGCAAUCAGUUGUCAGCACAACAGCUUGUAAGUUAACAAUAUCAAGUUCCCAUUUCCAAUAAAAUGUGGGAAGCAUAAUGUGUGAUUAUUUGCUACUUACAUUUCUCCGAUCUGAUUCUAUCUGCUGGAGAUCUGCUACAAAUAAGGAGACAGGCAGAAAUACAAAAUCAGCUUUUAAAAAUAAAACAAAACUUCAGUUUGUAACUAGGGCAUGAAGGUGAUAACUUUAUCCUGAAAUUUCUUACUUGCAUCUGGAAGAGAUGGAAGCUCUUCAGAUGUUAUUUUAACCAGGUCAAAGUAACAUAUGGAGUGGACACUCACAUAUGGAGGAUGUGAGUGUCCACUCCUGUCUCCAAUGCUCACAUCCUCACUUCCCCCACCCUGACCUUCCCAGCUUAAAGGGAAGGUCUUAAGUAGCUCUGAAGGGGAAUUCCUUGUGCAUUCAGGUGAACCUGCUUAGUAGCAUCUAGGUGACCAGAAACCCUGAUUGCAUGUGGUUCUUGGUCACAGGGAAGGUUCUAGGUUCAUUUAGGCAAAGAAUCAUCUUUCAGACCAUUCAAUUCAAGAAUGAGAGGGCUGAAGCUUGCAGGGAUGCGGAGGAAUAGAGCAAUAGUGCACAUUGUACACCUCAUCUCUUCUGUGAGUUUCUUUCUUUCAAAUGAAAUGUGGGUGGGAUUAUGAUGUGGAUUUGUAGCUGGUUGAUGACUCUCCAUCAGCAAAAGUAGGGUGCCACAGGUUUUUGUCCUAGGGCAGGUGUUGUUCAACAUCUUUAUAAAUGAUGUCAAUGAAGGUCAUCAAGUGUGCAGAUCACAUCAAAAUGGGUAGGAUAGCUAAUACUUUAGAAGAUUUUUAAAAAGAUUUAAGAUUGCCUUGAUAUUAUGGGGAAUUGACCAAAGCUAACAAUAUGAUUUUCAGCAAAGAUAAAUGCAACAGUCUGCAUUUAGGCAGGAAGAUGGCUAAUACUGCCAUCUUGGCUGCUGCCAGAGGCUCUAUACCAUUCACAAGUGCAAGAUCAUCAGGUAUAGCAAUUCCUAUCACUUCUAUCUAUGCUGGCGAAAUCUGAUACAGGUAGGAAAUGUGGAUUUUCUUCCAGAUGUUCAGAUCUUAAAAGGUAUGUGACCUGUGACAAAAAUGUACAAGUCCUGCAAACGAUGACUGUUAAGGGUCAAGAAAUUGCUUCAAUCCAAUGAACUUUGUUGAUAAUUUAUAAUUACAUUGCCACACAUCUCCUAUGCAAAGACAAGUGAUAGGAAAAUAGGAAGUUCAGAGCUAUCAAAAGUGGAUGAUCCAUGAAAGUCUAAGUCACAAUGAAAACAAAGAUAAAUUAUCUGAAAGAACACAAAACAGUUAGCUGAUUUGCACCCAGGGAAACUGAAUGACAAAAUACUCCUCCCAAGGGUUUCAAAACCAAUUAAAUGUUUGUGCAUGCCCUGGAGAAUGAAAUGAUGAGUGGAAGAGAAUAAAGAAUGUGACUUAAAAAAACCCCAACAACUCUCAAAAGAUGUGGUGUGGAUUAGAAGACUGGAGGGAUUUAAGUUUACUGCAGUACAAAGUUUUUCUUGCUUUGUGUAGACUUUGCUCCAUUUUUAUCAUUUUUAUCAUUUUGUUCCUCUGUUUGUUUCCCAUUCCUUUUGGUGUUAGCAAUGAUUACCCCAUAGCUACAAUGGUUCCCAUCUUUCUCUCUCUCACUUGAAGAAGAGAAUUAAAAUUUCACCUCAAGCAUUCAUGGUUCCAGAGAAUUACUUUCUGUGCAAGAAAACAACAAAGAAAAGACUUUUUUUUACUGAAGACAAGCUUUUAUAUUUACAGAAAUUAAAGUUGCCUUUAGACAAUUUGGCAUGGAGAGAUGGAAGAGGAUAUGCUAAGCUCAUUACCAAAGAAGAAAGCUUCAUUAAAAUGAAUUGUAGCAGCUCAGAAAUACAUAUUUGUUUAACACAAUAUAGCUUGGUUCUUUCAAAGAGUAUUAUGGAAAUACUGCAUUAUAGAGGCACAGCCCUGCUCUAUUCUCCUUGCACUACCCCUACACAUGAAGAAGACUCAUUACUAGUGCCUUGCAGAUGGCAAAUAUGGGUUCGUCACUAAUCACUUUGGAAGGAGGGAGAAAGAUCAAGUCUUCUGGAGCCUGGAUAACAGAAGUGAAAUAUUGUUCUAUGCGAGGAUAUGGAAACAUCUGUCCUUCAUCAAGGAAGAGAAGCUCUUCAUGCAUUAUAACAUCCCUUUAAAAAGCACACUCAUCUUGCCAAGAUAUAAACCCAUAUAUUUUUAUCCCUGAGAUUAAUUUAAAAUGUAUUUAUAGAGACAUCAUUUCUUAAAACUUACAUUGCUGAAGAUACUAAAUGUAAUUCUUUCCUGUUUAAAAAUAAUAACCUUAUUUGACUCCAUGGAUGUAAUUUCUUAUUAAAGUCUGCUGAAAAUUCACCAUAUGAAAUUAUGAGGAGUUUUCUUUUAAGGACAUCUGUUCCAUUCAUCUUAGAAAGGAAAAAUGACUCAGGAGAUGAAAGGGGUAUCUCUUCUUUCUUUCUUUUAGAAAGUACCAUAUUUUCAAAUAGGACAGCUAGGCAUACGCUAACUUUAAAAUGGUUUGAGGCUCUCCAUGGACAUCUAGCUAGUUUCUGUGAGAACAGGAUGCUGGACUAGAUGGGCCAUUAGUCUGAUCCAGCAGAGGCUGUUCUUAUGCUCUUAUGUGCAUUGUCUUCUCCUUACUCCUAGGUAUACAGCAUGAGGACAACGCAGCAGAAGAAAUUCAAGGGUGCAGAAUCCUAUUAGCCUGACCAAACAAUACAUUCUUUGACCAUCCAGUGACCAAGCAGUGUACUGACAACUAAACAGCAGCUACCCUUUGGGAGGGAUCAGCAAUACAGAAUAACCCUAGUUUCACUUGAAUAUCAUGGCUAGAUUUUCUUCAGCUCACUUAGUGUUGGUAUUAUGGCUAGAAUUAUUUCUUUUUGCUUUAUUUUUUUGUUCAGCCAUUUAGAGACCACUUUAUCCUUUGUCUCUAAGCAGUGUACCAGUG
This is a non-coding RNA of Podarcis lilfordi (Lilford's wall lizard), 27754 nucleotides long. Lineage: Eukaryota; Metazoa; Chordata; Lepidosauria; Squamata; Lacertidae. The record is from the annotation of a GenBank genome assembly.